Molecule: long non-coding RNA, 1906 nt
Filed under: Sus scrofa (pig)
Lineage: Eukaryota; Metazoa; Chordata; Mammalia; Artiodactyla; Suidae
Description: lncRNA (ENSSSCG00070001756.1)
Source: RNAcentral
AUGUUUUCCAUAAUUAUAAAUAAAAUACUGAUCACUUUGACCUCUUUACAAGCUAGUAAUUUUCAUGUUUUAGUUUUAGUUCCUUUUCCCAUUAGGUCUCUGAUAUUUUUAAAGAGUGAACCAAACGGCAAAUAUUUUUUUAUUCAUCUUUUUUCCAGGGGGAGGCCAUCACUGUGUGCUGCCUUAAUGCCACUUACACCUGAAAGAGGGUACAAGUCCUGGAGGCAGAACAGCCAUGCUAUGACCAUGAAGAAGAAAACCAUGCAGGUCCUGAUGACAUCCUCGAGCAGCUGUGCUUGUUUGGAUUAUCUUGUGUCUUCUCGUUAUGGGAAGAAAAUCAGUCUCAUUUGGUUAAGCUACUGAGUUGCGUCCAUGCAACUGAAUGCAAUCCGAGCUAAUAUGAUAUUAUGUCCCUUUUCUUAAAGCAUAUUAGACAUUCUGAGAAGUCCUAUUUAGCUGUGUUUAACCUAACAUUGAUAUCAUUUGACUACAGAACACUUCGUCCUCAGAACACUUAGUAUAUCUCACUGAGCAUGAGUAUUCUGCAGAAAUUUGGAAAAUACUACUCAUUUUGCAUUGAUUCAGCACCCUGACCGUGGUAACCUUCUACCAAGAUAGGAAACCUAGGAGGAGUACAUGCUGGGGGGGGGGAGUGAGUUUCAUUUUACAUGUACUGAAUUUGAGAUGUCUGAGAGCAGCUGUCCAUCGAAAGCCCUGAAGCUCACAAGAGACAUUUAGAAACAAACAAGGUAUUGAAAUCCACCGUUCCUUGGGUUAAACUGUGAUUGGCUUUUUUUUUUCCUUUUUUUUUUUUUUUUUUUUUGGCUUUUUGGGGCCACACCUUGGGCAUAUGGAGGGUUCCAGGCUAGGGGUCGAAUCAGAGCUACAGCUGUCGGUCUACACCACAGCCACAGCAACGCAGGAUCCUAGCCACAGCUGCGACCUACACCACAGCUCACGGUGAUGCCAGAUCCUUAACAAGGCCAGGGAUUGAAACUGUGUCCUUGGGGAUGCAAGUCAGAGUCAUUUCCUGAGCCACAGCUGGAACUCUUUUUUUUUGGUACGUGUAAUUGUUAAGGUAGAAAACAUUCUACAAGCGUUUUUACCCGUGAGGAAAAUGACAGUCUCGUUUUGAAUCCCUUCUUUAACUGCCUUGCUAUGCCGCCUCUCUUGAACGAGGAGAUGGAAAGAAUACAGUGCUUCAAGUCAGACACACUGGAGUUCAAAUCCUGCUCUGUCCGUUUACUUAGCUAUGUGACCUUGGCUCAGGGAUUUUAACGUCUCUGAACUUCAAUUUUCUCAUCAAGGGGCUGACAGUCUAACCUUAGAGAGUUGCUGUGAGAAUUAUAAAAUACUCGACAUGGUGCCUGGUAAAUUUUAGCUGCUCCAUCUCCCUCUGGCUAGAAAAGAUACGGUGCUUCACACUGUCCUCUCCUGUGUGAUGCCUUUUAUAUAGCUAAAUAGCAUUUACAAUUAGGCCAUGGCAAUGCUUUAGUUUCUGCCUACUAAAUAUCCACAUGUAACUCGAAGAUAGAAUUUGAAGGCAGGUUAAAUGAAAUUGUAUGUACUUGAUGGAUUUGAAUUUUACUAUUUUAUAUAUUUAACAAAACAAAGCACCUCCUAUGUGUCUUGCUUUUUUCUACCACUUCCUAAAUGAGUUAAUAUUAACUCAUUUAACAUUUAUAAUAACUUUAUUAAUUAGAUACUGUUAUUAUUCCCAUAUGGAAGAAAAAGAAAUAGUUGCACCAGGAAGUUACAUACCUUGCCCACAGCCACACAGCUAGCAGGUGGAAAAGCCAGGCUUCAAAUCUGGGUAGUCAGAUCCCAUAGUUCAGGCUUCCAAUUACUAAACUACAAUAUAAAAGAUAUAAAUAAAUAAAAGGAAUUACUCUUCUUGCUGUCCUCU